This 459-nucleotide ribosomal RNA is filed under the name uncultured bacterium. Its description in RNAcentral is "partial 16S ribosomal RNA". It matches the Rfam family "Bacterial small subunit ribosomal RNA", at positions 338 to 795 of the family's 1533-position model. The record is from RNAcentral.
CCUACGGGAGGCAGCAGUGAGGAAUAUUGGUCAAUGGACGAGAGUCUGAACCAGCCAAGUAGCGUGAAGGAUGACUGCCCUAUGGGGUGUAAACUUCAUGGAUAAAGGAAUAAAACGAGGCACGUGUGCCUUUUUGCAUGUACUUUAUGAAUAAGGAUCGGCUAACUCCGUGCCAGCAGCCGAGGUAAUACGGAGGAGCCGAGUGUUAUCCGGAUUUAUUGGGUUAAAGGGGUGCGUAGGCGGACUGGUAAGUCAGCGGUAAAAGCCCGGGGCUCAACCCCGGCGAGCCGUUGAAACUGGCUGUCUUGAGAUGUCGAGAGGUAUGCGGAAUGCGCAGUGUAGCGGUGACAUGCUUAGCUAUUGCGCAGAACUCCGAUUGCGAAGGCAGCCUACCGGCGGCGAUCUGACGCUGAGGCACGAAAGCGUGGGUAUCGAACAGGCUUAGCUACCCCAGUAGUC